This 17058-nucleotide long non-coding RNA is filed under the name Gossypium barbadense (sea-island cotton). RNAcentral describes it as "long non-coding RNA (GBAR_LNC018990)". The record is from RNAcentral. Lineage: Eukaryota; Viridiplantae; Streptophyta; Magnoliopsida; Malvales; Malvaceae.
CAAAACUCCCUUGUGGUAAAGUAGUUGCUUUGAAGAAACUUCAUCAUUUAGAAGCCGAAAAUCCAACUUUUGACAAGAGUUUCAGGAACGAGAUCAAGUUUCUAUCAGAAAUACGACAUCGAAACAUAGUGAAGCUUCACGGGUUUUGUCUACACCGACGAUCCAUGUUUUUGAUCUAUGAAUACAUGGAAAAAGGGAGUUUGUUCUGCAACCUAAGGGAUGAAGUGAACGCUGUGGACAUGGAUUGGACGAAAAGAGUAGAGAUCAUCAAAGGCAUAGCACAUGCUUUGUCUUACUUGCACCAUGAUUGCUGCCCUCCGAUAGUUCAUCGAGACAUAUCAAGUAACAAUGUUCUUUUAAACUCAAGUUUUGAGGCCUUUGUGGCCGACUUUGGAACAGCUAGAAUGUUGGAUCUUGAUUCAUCUUAUCAGACCAUUAUUGUCGGAACUUGUGGCUACGUAGCUCCAGGUGGCGUUUUCUUUUUUACUUGAUUUACUGACCUUUUCUCUGAACAUAUAGUUGAAUUUCUUCUUACUAAUUUGUGUAGGUAGAACUUGCUUAUACAAUGAUUGUCACCGAAAAAUGCGAUGUUUAUAGUUUUGGAGUGAUAGCACUGGAAACAUUAAUGGGAAAGCAUCCUGAAGAAGUGUUAUCAUGGUUGUCAUCACCAACUUCUUUGGUAAACAUGAAGCUGGUUGAUGUGUUAGACAACCGUUUACCACUUCCAACAAGUCAACUAGUUACACAAAAUCUUGUUCAUGUUGAUACACUGGCAUUCGCUUGCUUAAAUCCACAAACGAAGUCCCGACCAACAAUGAAGGAAGUGUCUGAAUGGUUCCUUUCUCGCCAUACAUCCUUGGGAAUUCCUCUUUGGAUGAUCUCUUUGUUACAACUCAUGAACCGUGAAAUGCAUAUUAAAGGCAAAACUAAAACUUGUGAUGUUUAAAGUCCAUGCGCUUGUUGAUUAGAUAUUGUUUAUCAUGCUCUGAUAAUUUGUUUGUAAACCAUCUCUGGUUUUAUAUAUGAUGGAAUGAAUUGCAAUGUUUAAUAAACCCGUUUAUUCGGUUGCUUUAGAAGACAUAAAUUCUACAAUUUGAUCCAAAUAUUAAGACAUCAUCGCUGGCUGCUUCCUUGAAUUUUGUGCUUCUUUCAAACCAACUCAAAGAUAAAUAACAUAAAAGUAAAUUAAGGGUGAAUCAAAGCAACAAAAUGCAAUCAAUACAUACAUCAAGAAUUCACCUCAGCUAUCUAUAAUUCAUGAAACAAUCUCUCAACUUAUAAAAUGUAAGUGAGACUCCACAGACCUGAUAUCCAAACUCAAAAGCAAUAAAAGGCGUCAUCAGAACCCUGGCAAGUGAAGACGACAAUCUUUUCAAGCAAGGUAGCGAUACAACUUCCUGUCACCUUUAUCCCUCUCCAGGAACUCCCGCUCAAUAAGGGACUCGAUCCGUUUCUUAAUUACAACGGGGUUGGGCAGAAACCGUGACUGUAGCUGUUUUGUGACCUCAGCAACAAUGUUGUUAUGAUCCAGCACACGCCUAGCUUUCAUGAUCCUCACGAUUGCUGCCUCAAUUUGCGGUUUUCGAUCUUCCUCCACUCUCUGCCUAGUUUCUUGAUUUUCAGGUUCCGACUCCCUUUGCGCAGCCACAGUGCCUAUCUUGACCUUGAAGAACUUGCUUGUAUACUUGUCAUUGAAAAGAAAGGUAUCAGUGUCUACUAUGUCCUUGCUCAUAGGUUCUUUCCGAAGCACAUUUUUUCCCUUAACACAGGCAAGAGACUGCAAGCACCUUUUCAAGUCAAAGGUAGGAAUCUCGGUCACCUGCUCAAUCUCCUUAUAGCUUAGUCGAUCAGCAUCGUUGAAGAGCAUAAGGACACACAUCUGGUAUGUGGAAACAUUCAGUUCAUGCUUCUGUCCCUUACCAAAGGUUGCCUUCAAAUCAGCUGUCCCCAUGUUAGUUUGCCAAGACAAUCUCCGUCCGGUAUGGGUACCUAGGUAAUAAUUACGGAAUUUCUCACAUAUUCCCAGAAUUUCAGCAGGAAGUUUGCAUGUAGUAAUAGGUUGAGUUGGCCAAGAUCCAGUUGUCAGAACCUGGACAGAAAGCAUGGGACCAUCCCCUAUAUCCGAACCAUGACUUGCAUGGAAACCUUGCAUCGUAUCUUGUGAUGUCUUCAUAUCUGUGAACAUACCCUCCAACUUUGAGGUGAAUUGAUACCCACACUCUGUUUUGAGCUUAACAAUCAAACUUCUUUCAGCAUCAUCAGAGACGGACUUCCCUGAAAGAAGCCUUUUGGCCAAGUGUUGUUUGUAGUACUUCUCGAAAACAUCUUUCUCUUGAAGGUAACGGAAGAGCAUCAUCACCUUGUCGAGUAACAAUUCCACAUCCUCUUCAGUAACCCCCCUCAAACCUUUUCGAAGCUUAUCAUCAACAAACAAAGAGAUGAACUCUGGAGACCGAGAAUUCAGAUUGAUGAAAUAUUCAAACGAGGAAUUUAAUGCAUUUUGAAAAGUCUUGUCAUUUCUAAAUGCUGAAGUGAUAAUCUUGUCGUAUUUGUCCUUUAAAUCCAACAGAUGUUGCACAAAAUCGACAGGAUCCUUCAGCCUUUCGGGAUCAGUGAGUAACUGCUUACCAGUAUCACGAAUGUAUGAAGUCAUGACAUCUCUGAUUAAAACAAGCCCAUUGGAUACUCGACGAAACAAGUAAUACAUCCUUCCUAAGUCCUCAUAUUUUUCAUCGACAAUCAUAUUAAUCAACCCCGAGUUCUCCAUUUGCACAAGCCUGUGCAUAUGACUUUCAAUCAUCUCCGUUUCUACCACAUUUGUUAUCUUGACUUCACUUCUGGUGUCCAAGUAAUGUGAGACUCUCUCUAUUUCUUCAUUUAGGCGUCUCUCGGCUUUCUUUAGAUACUCCCCACAAUCACAUUACAGUCAUCUUCUAACCCACAAUCAUUUGUGCUAUGAGCUUUUGGGCACUAUUCCGGAUAAAAUGGACGGAGGCAAGAUCGAGAUGGGCUAGUUGCGAGACACACUCCUGGAUCCGGAUGAAGAUUCAACCGAAAUAGAAAGAAUCCGAUAUGCUCGGGCAUACAUUCUUCAGUUAAUUGGAGGUUAUCUAAUGAUAGACUUGUCACGGAGCCGCGUACAUCUAAUAUGGCUGCUGAAACUCGUUGAUUUUAGAGCAGCUGGUGAAUUCAGUUGGGGGUCUACCGUCUUGGCCACAUUAUAUCGGGAGAUGUGCGGGGCGACGUGACCGAGGAGAGUAAAAAUCAGAGGUUGCCUGUCACUACUGCAAUCAUGGGCACGGUUUCGCUUUCCAUUUUUAUGUCCUCGAGUGGACCACCCAUAUACAUUCCCAUUCAUAACGAGGUAAAUUUUAUAUUAGAUUUUACAAUUAUUAUGUAGAUAUUUAAAAAUAAAAGUAUGCUAAAAGUUUAUUUAAUUAGGUGGAACCAUCCGGCAAGUCAUGCUCGAUUACCUACCGAACUUGAAAAUAUACGGCUUCUAUUAGACCAACAGUCGGAAGCACAUGUAAGUAUUAAAUAAAAUUGAUAUUUCCAUCAUUCGCUAGUCGAUUGGUAAAUAGUAUUUAGUAUUUAGUAUUUAGUAUUUAGUAUUAUGUAUAUAACUAAUAUUUCUAUAAUGUUCACAUAGUUUCAAUGGACACCAUACGAGGAUCCGGCAAUUUGGGCAAUAAUUCCGGAUGAGUUCUUACAAAAUCGAAACGCUUGGCACGUGAAAGUCGUGUUGAUCAACUACACGACCAUGGAGCCACACCAGUCAGACAGAGUGCUACGACAGUUUGGAUGUAGACAACUAAUUCCCGUGGAACCUGAGGUGUUUGACGAUCAACACAAAAUCGACCUUCGGCAAUUGAAUACGGAUUGGCCAAGAUACUGGUUCGAGUACAUGGAAAUGUGGGAAGAUCGGUAUGAAUACAUACCUACUCUGGAACCAAUCAUCGUUCCGGAGUUAGUGUGGGUGCUGGAAUACAUGUCAUGGUUUAGGAUUCAUGGCAAGCUGUAUUUACUGACGCCAGAGGAGAGGCAGCGGCAAUUACGUGUCCAAAGGGAAAGGCGCAGGCCUCAAAAUCCAAGACGACAAGACGACGACGCUAGCCCCUCAACGAGGCCUAGACAUUCACCCGGCCCAUCAUCAGAGGUCAUGCAAUCACUAGGCCCAACGAGAGUACCGACACAGUCACCUGACCCAGCAGUCCAACCGAUGAUACCCACGCAACCGCUUUUUCAGAUGAUGCCAGGUGCGUUUCCUAGCCUUUUUAUAUAUCCUAACCCUUAUAUGUAUCCUUUUCCGAGUCCUAAGGCAGGUUGGAGCCAAUGGCCCGGUUCAGCUCCGUUUCCUGUUACGCCGAGUGGACCGCCGAUGUAUAGGUCAGCAGCACACGAGGGAUCGCAAGAGGGGCCGUCGAGGAGCUCUUCUUUUUACCAAUCCCCACCACCGUAUGAGUUUCAAACACCGUCACCGUUGGUGAUGCAAAAACCUCCACAUUCACUAUUCUUUGAAGGUGGAUCAUCGUCCCAACUCCGACAACCAGAUACCCUACCAGAAGAACCAGAAUCCCCGCCACAGGAACCACAACCGCCACCGGAAGCUGGACAAAGGAGGCAUCCAGCGCGUAACCAUCGACGGCCGCCAUGUGGCACUGAAUCCAGCGGGCACAGACAUUGAUUUUUGUAUUUAAAUUUAUUUGUACAAAUAUUUUGAAUAUUUUGAUACUAUUUGAUGUAAUAAAAUAGAAAUUGUUUUGAGUUAUUACUUAAAACCCUAAACUAAUUUCUUAAAAAUUUAUAAAUCUAUAAUUUAUAAUUUAAUUGACAAACCUUAAACCCCAAAACUAAAAACCCUAACCCUAAUCAUAACCCUUAACUUAAAAACUCUAACCUUUAAAUUAAAAACACUAAACCCUAAACCUAAAAACCAUAAACCCUUAAGCUAAAAACCUAACCUUAGACCCUAACCAUUAACCUAAAACACUAACCUUAAACCCUAAACUCAUAAACCUAAAUACCCUAACCCUAAACCCUAAACCCUUAACCUAAAAACCUUAACCAUUAACCUAAGAACCCUAAACCCUUAACCUAAAAACCCUAACCCUCAACCUAAAAACCUUAAACCCUUAACCUAAAAACCCUACACACUAAACUUAAAACCCUAAACCCUUAACCUAAAAAUCCUAACCCUUAACAUAAAAACCUUAAACCCUUAACCAAAAAACCCUAUACACUAAACUUAAAACCCUAAACCUUAAAUCUAAAAACCCUAACCCUUAACCUAAAUUUCAUAAACCCUUAACCUAAAAACCCUAACCCUGAACCUAAAUUCUAUAAACCCUUAAUCUAAAAACCCUAACCCUAAACCUUAACCUAAAAACCUUAACCCUCAACCUAAAAACCCUAACCCUUAACCUAAAAACCCUAAAUGCUUAACCUAAAAACCCUAACCCUCAACCUAAAAACCCUAAACCCUUAACAUAAAAACUCUACACACUAAACUUAAAACCUUAAACCCUUAACCUAAAAACUCUAACCCUUAACCUAAAAACCUUCAACCCUUAAACUAAAAACCCUAACCCUCAACCUAAAAACCUUAAACCCUUAACCUAAAUUCCAUAAACCCUUAACCUAAAAACCCUAACCCUUAACCUAAAUUCCAUAAACCCUUAACCUAAAAACCCUAACCCUCAACCUAAAUACCCUAAACCCUUAACAUAAAAACCCUAACAUAAAGGCUUAAAAACUAUCCUUGUCCCUUAACUUAAAUAUAAUUUGAUAAUUUUACUAACCAUUAAUACAAUUAUCAGUUAAUAACUUUACAUUCACGUAAUGUUAGAUUUGGAAAAAUGUUUUGACUAGUACUAACAAUUAAUAAUUUUAUAUAAUUUUAUAAUUUUUCUAACAAUUAAUACAAUUAUCAAUUAAUAAUUGAAAAAAUAUAAUUAGCAGCAAUUACAUUCAACUAUUGCGAUUAGGGCAUGAUCGACUUGUAUGGCCUAGAUUCCUACACCAUCCGCACAACUUUUGUUGACUGGCUGUUUCUCGGAUAGCCAUAUUGUUGCGUAUUCUAGUCGAGCAAGGUCGACCCCUUGGUUUGCGACGCAAUUUUCUAUCCAGUAACAGCUUAAAAUGAGCAAGAGAUACGGGCAGCCACUUACGUUCAUCUGGGGCCAGUGGGAAAACGUGUCUCUAGAUGUUGUACAUGUUUUCUAAUUUGUACACUUCGUCCACAUAGCUCAUCGGAUCCAGACGGAGAUUCUGACAAGAUACAAUAACAUGAGAGCAUGGAUAACAAAGUGCAUCAAAACUCUCACGGUCGCAAGUCCUAUUUCGCAAGUCUACAUGAUAUUGCCCACCAACAACACUUUGGAGCGGUCUAUCAAACUCUGUCACGCGAAACAAUAAGUUGUCUCAAUCGUGACACACGGUGUGCAUGGUGUUUGCCCGCGCCUUGGCCUUGUGAAUUUCUUAAACUACCUUGCUGCACCAUACAUGGCCUCUCUGCAUCUGGCCUGCAUAACUUGCUGCUCGCUUUGGAAAUAGUGCCACCAAACGAAAAUAUGUCUCUCGCACAACUGAUGUUAUCUGUAGAUGACGCAUUUUUUUAAGAACAGAAUUUAUGCAUUCAGCCAAGUUUGACGUCAUAUGGCCAUAUCGUAGGCCGUCGUCGUAUGCUUGUGCCCACUAUUUGAAACGUAUGUUAAAAGGUAGUACGCCCCUCCUUUGUUAAUUGAACGUAAAAUUGCCAACAUCUCGUGAAAACGGUCUUUAUUUAUUUCAUACCCUACCAAUAUAAGUUCAUAGAGAAUAUUACAUGCCACUUAUACUAAUAAAACUAAUUCAAAUUGACAAACGAAAAACACAAAUAUAGACUAAAUACACAUGUUGGUCACUUGUCGUCAUUCGUUCUUAGAUGGAUAUUGACUGUAGUAGUUGGGAGCAACGUGUCUUAGGCAAUAUCGAUGGUGCGUGCGCUGCCAUAAGCUUCCCUCUCGAUCAAAUGCAACUAGUAUAUCGGUGCCCCGAUCUAAAAUAACACAGAUAUCAGGUUGGGGGCACACAUGCCUCCUUAACCUAGAGAGAAAGAAAUCUCAAUCAUCAGAUGACUCCCCCGGUGUUAUUGCAAAUGCAAUUGGAAGAAUUCUCCCACCGCCAUCCUGUGCCACUGCAAGCAAUAGCCGAUGAGUAUACCUACCAAACAUAAAGGUACCGUCAAUUUGUACCAAUGGCUUACAGUAUGGAAAUGCGUCUCGGCAUUGCUUAAAGGUCCAAAACAGGUGUUUGAACACUCGGCAUCCACGUAGCAAUCGGCCGUUGUAGUACGCAUGUUCCGUUUGAAGGUCUAUGAUGGCACCUGGGACGUACCUCUCUAGCACUUGACACCACUGCCAUAUUUUAUUAUAUGAGGCAUCCCACCCACUAUGCAUCUUCUCCAAUUCCUUUUGCUUAGCUAUCCAAGCCUUGCGGUAAGACGGCGUGUACCCUAUUUGGCUACAGAUAUUGGCAAUUAACACCGGCACUGAAGUCUUGGGAUCUGCUUUUACCGUGGGCAGUAUCAAGCUAGCUAACAUAGCUAAAUCCAUCUUGGGAUGAUCUUGUAAAACACCUAUAAUUGGAGUACAUUAAAUAAUGCAACAUUACAUAAUAAAAGUAUUAUUCAGAAACCGUCAAUAUUGUACCUACAGCACAUGUAUGUGGACCUUUGUACUUUUUAAUCUCCCACAACCCUGUCCUUUUCCUUAACGAGGCGUAGGUUUUCCAUGAACAUGUGCCGUCUUGUACCGCAUACUUCACCUCAAACUUAUCAAAUUUCAAUUUAACGACGUGGUAGUUAACGUCGUUUUUGAUGCUAUGUUGUUUCAAAGCACCAAUAAAACUAUCCUUGUUGGUAAACUGAUUGCCAACUUUAAAUUCACCCGAAUCUAGCCCCGAACUUGUACGAUCACGCAACAGGUGUGGUAGAUCUGGAAACUCUAACGUAUCAUCUGCAGACAGAUCGACAUUAUGUAUGUGGGCUAGAGGUGAGUAUACUCUGAAUCAUGGAUUUUCUUCUUCAAUUGAACUCCUUUCAGCAUCUUCAUGUUCUGUUGGAAUAGGCUCCGGUUCAGAAAAUAAGCCAACUUCUGCACCAUCGGGCCCGAGCUCUCGAGGUGGAUCCACAUUACAGUCAUCUUCUAACCCACAAUCAUCUGCAGCGUACGAGGUCCCCUCACCGGUUGACGUCGUAGGGUGUACAUCAUCCCUUCUUCUGGGCAUUUCAUAACGUCCCCAAUUGGAUGUAGAUUGCCACCCACUAGAACUUGAUGUCGUUCCCUAAUACGUAUUUCUAGCAUCAAACGUCGAGCCACUGACGUACAUAUCCCAUCCACCAACAGAGUGUCUUGCAGGGGAUGUGCAUUCGACACCACUAUCAAAUAUGGGCUAUUCUGUGUUUUGUAACCUGCUAACCCAGUGUCAACUAGUGGUCAUGUAUACAUCUCGAACACCAGUCGCAAGUACAUCAUUUGGCGGUGUAAAUUGUACAUAUAACUCAAUAUAAGGUGCUCCACUAGCAAAAUGAGUCUGCACAAUUGCCUCCAAGUUACGAGCACCUUUUAUGUCGAACGAGUCAUAUGUCACCGGAUCAACAGAAGAACAAAAUCAACACGUGAUAGACAGAACUUUCAUUGGUGUCGUUCCAAAAAUUUUACGCCUAAUUCUUUUACGAAGUUUUGUCAAAUCUAUGUUCUGGUUAAAAACCAGUCGCACCGUAUUCUCCGAUAAAAAAACAACACCAUUCUCGGUAUGGCAAACCUCACCAUCGUAGUAAAUAACAGCACUAAUAUGUUCACUCAUAUUUGAAACUCUAACCUUCUUAGCCUCUCUAAAUUGUUUCUGCUGUGACUUAUGCAUUUUGAGAACAUUUUUUGCCUCAUUUAUAGCCUCAGCCCAAACAUGCUAUUGUAGCAAAAGCGCAUCCACGUGGGCACGAUUUCAUAAAUUCUUCUCAUAAAGCUUUUUUUUGGUAAAUUUAAAAAAAUAGGCUUUUUUUGGUAAAUUGCCCUCAAUUGGGUGCAAAAAGUUCGUAGGGGCUUAAUUGAUUUUUUUCGAAAAAGUUCGACGAUCAAAAAUACCUUUAAGCCCUACUUUAACUAUUGAUAUGUCUUUUUUAAUUAAUUUUACAUUCGUGCAUAGUAUAGGCACACAAUGUACGAGGUGUUUCCACGUAUACAUGUAAAGUGCAUUUUGAUGCCACGAAGGAAUUAGAUAAAAAUGUGAUUGUUAAGUUAGUAAUGUCACCUUCUAGUAAUUGAAAAGAAUUAGAUGCAUUUAGCUAGUAGAGUGUAAUUAUAUUGUAAUUCUUUGUGCCUUGUUUAGUAAUAUAAAUUGUAAUUACACAUUUACAAAUUUUAAAUUGUUUAAAAAGUAUUAAUUAAUAUAAAUAUUUAUCAAUAAUAUCUGAGAAAAAAUUUUAAACAAGUGACAUAAAUUAAAAUCAAAUCAUGUUAUGUUAGUCCAAGAAAAUAACCGACAACAUGAUUACCGAUAAAAAAAAAUAAAAAUAAACAUUAUAUGCAACUUUAUUAUUGCUUUAGCAUUCCAUGUUUGUUGGGUUAUUCCUUUUCUAACAUUUAACAUCUACUUCUUAUCAUCAUCUAUUAGUUCUUGACCAAUUUCUUCAUUGUUGAUACAAGGUACAACAAUGGAGGGGAGUAAGGAGGAGGUAAGGUGGAGUGAGUGGUGGUUUUGUGGAGGCCGGUUCACUUAAAGAGGUGGAGAGCCGAAAAGGAACAAGAGGAUAGGCUGAUUGCUGAAAGUGGAGAUGGCUGCUCAGAGUAACUUUAAGGAUUGGAAAAUCGAUCCAUUCUUCAUCGUUGGAAAGGUAUUUAUAAGAGAGGUCCACUUGUCCAUUAGCAUGACAUGGCAGGAUAAAUGUUCAGUCCCACCAAAUGUGUAAAGGAUAUUCAUGAACAUAAAGGAUAUUCAUGAUGGGCCCCAUUAUGUUAUUCAUUUGAUCAAUACAAGGUUGUUAUGCCCAUGCAAGUCCUAAUGGACUCAAGGAUGUGUUCACACCAAAAAAGGGGGUGCCAAGCCUUUCUAAAGGGUUGGUGCUCCUUUGAUCUUAGUGGAUGGUCCAGUGAGACAUCUUCUUAGGAAAACUCAAUGAGAGGGUUAAUGUUGUCUAUACUAUUGACACGUGUCCAUGUGGCGGGGAUAUAACAUUCAUCAUCUACAUCAAAAUCUGAAUAUGCAUCAUUAAGAUUAUUGAAAUCAUUUUUUUAUUUGUAUCAUUAAGAUUAUCAAGAUCUUUUUUUUUUCAUGUACUAUUUAAAAGUAUUGAUAAUUCCAAUUCCACCUAUAAAUGGAAUUGUGAAGUAUACAACAAGUUAGAACGAUUGAACAUUGUUUUUUGGACUAUAUUGAUGUGGUUUGUUAAUAUGAGAAAUAUUUUUUUAGAACAACAAAUAUCCUCUCAACCACAUUUCAAAGCUUUGAAUAAAGAGUUUGCGAGCUGUGUUUGGUACUUGUGUCUAGCUCUAUUCUUUCAAAUGAUAUCAUACCCCGUGAUAUACUGCAAAAAACCUUUUGCAUUUGCAUAAUCAAUAUCUAUCACAUAAUAUUUCCUAAAAAACAUGUAACAAUUUAAAUGAUUUGUGAGAAAAAUAAAAUAACAGCAAGGUGAUGAUAAUAUUAAUGUAUUUAUGAAGUACAAUUUUGAUCUAUUUUCUCUCUCAAACAUCAUUCUUAGCAUUCUAGUAUUUGAGGCACAAAUCAACUUUAUAAUCCUUCAAUUAUAAUAGUUUUUAUAAAUCUAAUUUGCAGUUUACUAUGUGUUCAAUAAUAAACCAACUUUAUAACCUUUUUAUAAUAUUUCGAUUGCUAUUAUUUCAUGCAAUUUAGAUAAAUAUAUAUAUAAAUUUUAUAAUAUAACAUUUAUAAACAAUGUUUUUAUAAAGUGCUGAAUAGCUUUUAUGGUGCUUAUGUUAAAGUGCUCAAAUAUGUGUCACACAAUAAUAGUAUAAAAAUUAUAACACACGAUUUAUAAGCAUAAUUUGCUAGGUUAAAAUUUGCUUUAAAAAAAUACAGGAGUUAGGUGACAUGGCAAGGGUUUCUCCUACCUUAAUCAAUAAUCGAGGGUUUGAUCCUUACUCUAGGUAUGGAGUAGUUUUAAAACUUGUGGCCAGUAUCUACCCCCUUAAUGGGCUUACAGAAUGUGAAAGAUUAGUUAUCGGGCUUGCUUAGGUAGAUAGAUUGAGAAAUCAAAAAAAAAUUACACAAAAUAUUUUGACUUAUGUGUCUAAUAGCAAAGCAAUUUUGACCCGAUAAGAUAUAUAUAAUUAUACUUAAAAAAAUAUAAAAUAUAUGUCCUAAAAUUAAAAUAUAUUAUUAUAUUAAAAUAUUUUUUGUAAAUUAAAAUAUAUUAUUAUUGCAUUAAAAUAAUUUUUGUAAACUUGUAUAAAAAAUAAUUUCUUAAAUCAUGUACAUGUGUUUAAAAAACUAUAAGGUAAUUAGUAAUUUAUUGUAAUUACUCGCGUAAUUACCCCAACUCUCAACCCCUAAAAAUUGAAUAGCAUAAUUGAGGUGCUAAAAUUACAUUCAAUUUAGUGAACCCACAAAUCACAAUGGUUUUCUAAACACGCCACACAUUUGCAAUAGCAAGUAAUUGCACUCAAAUCUAAUAUUUGCAUGAAAUAUUUGAAUUUAUAUGUCUAAUAGCAAAGCAAUUUUGACCCAAUAAGAAAUAUAUAAUUAUAUUUUAAAAAUAUAAAAUAUAUGUUCUAAAAUUAAAAUACUUUAUUAUUAUAUUAAAAUAACUUUUAUAAAUUUGUAUAAAAAAUAAUUUCUUAAAUCAUGUACGUAUGUUUGAAAAACUAUAAGGUAAUUAGUAAUUUAUUGUAAUUACUCGCAUAAUUACCCAACUCUCAACUCUCUAAAAAUUAAAUAGUAUAAUUGAGGUGCUAUAAUUACAUUUAAUUUAAUGGACCCAUCAAUAACAAUAGUUAGUCAAACAUACUAUACUUUUAUAAUAGCAAUUAAUCACACUCAAAUCUAAUAAUUAAUUUAUAUUGAAAUCUUCAAAAUCAUAUACUUUGUGGUCCAAGUUAAACUGAUUUUUUUUUUCAAAACAAUUGCAAAGAAAAUUCAUGAAAUUAAGUUGUUUUCAAAUAAUUAAUUCACAUUGGGAUUUUCAAAUAAAAUGUCACAUUAAUAAUAUUUCAAUCAUUAAAAUAUUAUGUAAGACAUUUUGCUUAUACAAGAAAUAUGAAAAAUUCUAAAAUUUAAUCCAGUUUAAUCUGCUGAAGGAAAUGACUCUAACACUGACCUAAUUCAAUUAAGCCUCUGAAAUUAGCUUAACUUCAUAAAACUUAAUCCAGUUUAGUCAUUCUAAAGUCUCUAAUUUUGUUUAAAAGAGUUUUUAAAUAUAUAAAUGAUUUUAAAUUUGUAUGUUUUAAUAUGAAAUUCAUUAUAUUGUAGUAAGAUUUAAUGUGGCAUGUUUAAAAUUUUAAUUUAACUCAAAUAAUUUCAUUUAAUUUGGCUCGACUCAAAUUUUAUUUCACUUGAUUCGAUUUGAAAAAAAAUUCAAAUUGAAUUAGAAUGAUAAAAUGAGACUCGUCAACUCGAAAUUAUUUUACUCGAUUCGAUCCAACACUCACCCUUAGUAAUUGCAUCAUUGAUACUAAUAACAACAUAAAAAAUGUAUACUUAUCUUUUCUAAUCAAUAUGCAGGCACGAAAUGGAAAUUUCCAUGAGAAAGAAGUAUAUCGCGUAUGAAAAAGUAAGUUCCAUGACAUCGGCUGAAGCAAUAACAACAAAUGCAAAAAGACAUUGACUCCUAUGGAAAUCCAUCAGUUUGGAAACUAUAACGUAUAUGCUACGACUCGGUGUUUUUUGGUGUGUCACCCGUUAGACUUUCAAUUAUGUUGGUAAUAAAUAUAAUCUAUUUCAAUUAAAAAAAUGAGUAGAAUUUAGUAAUUCAUUAUGACCCAAAUUAUUGGUGAAGUUAAAAUUAAAAUUUUUUCGACAAAAACUUUCAGUACUUAGUACUUAUGUGUAAUUCAAAUCUUUCCAUUAUAUAUCCCAAAUAAGUUAAAAGGCAUGGCGUGGUGUCUACCUUUGCUUAUCCAUGUCAGACUUGCAAUUCUUUAUAUUAACCUUAAUUAUCGGCCUUCAUAAAAAGAUGUGUAAUUAUACAAGUCAAGAGCAAAAAAGAUAUGUUCUCUCAUAUCACUUGGAGUGAUGAGUCCUUUCUGAACCACUCCAUCACCUUCGUAUGUCAUACCAUAUUUAAAACAUUACUUUAAGCACCUAUCAAUGUGAAUCCAUUUGGUGAUGAAUCAAAGUAUGACGGUUAACACAUAAGGAGAGUUUGUGUAAGUCUAAAGAUUGUUUACACUACCAAUACAUGAGACUAUUUCUAUAGGCAUUUGAGUGAAAUACCAAAUGGAACUAUCAUAGCAGGUCAAGUUAUAUUUUAUAAUUUUUUCGAAACUUUUUAAAAAUUAUUCACAUUUUAUUUUUUAUAUUUGUAAUAAAUUUUAUAAUUUUUAUAACUUUUACAUUUUUAAAAUAUUCUAAUAACUUGACAAGCAACAUCAACAUACUUCCACAUGGCAUGUCACAUGUCAACUUGUCAUAGCUUCCGCCAACCACAUCAACAACCAAUAUUGAUAAAAUCAGUCAACAACCGUUUUCGUUAGCGAAAGGAGCCAAUUGAUUUUUUUCUCAUUGAAUGCUCGAUUGGGUCAAUUUUUUUAUUAUGAACUUGAUUGAUUUUUAACUUUUUACUAAGGUGUUUUUUACACUUUAACCUUAUAUUAAUAUUCAUUAUUUUAUUAAAAAACUUAUUUCUAAGUAAUUUUUCCGACCGAAUUGAUAUCGGAUUAACUCCAAUAAAAUAUAUUAUAUAAACAUAUUAAAAUAUAUCAAUAAAGAAAACACCAUUAAUUUGUUUGAAGUCUCGACUUUUUGAGUCUUAAUGGGUGAGAAAUUUCUUAUAUAGAAACUGAAGACGAUAUAUAAAGUAAAUGCCACAUUAAAAGCCCAAUUCUUUGGAAAAUAAAUUCCAUCACGACUGAACCAAAAAUUAAAAUAAAAUCUAUCAUAUUUAAUAUAUUAGUCCAAGAAAAUAAUCGAUAAUAUGAUUACUAAUAAAAAUAACAAGAAAAAUGAUUUAUGUUAGGUUAUAACAAUAUUUUUUUUUUUUUGAACAAUGAGAUUUUGACCUAGACUAUUCCUUGAAAAGGUGAAUACUCGACUAAUAGGCCACAACUUAAAAUUUUUUAAAUUAUAACCAUUUUUAUAAUACAUGAAUUAGGUUUAAAAUAGUAUAAAAUUUAUAAUAUAUACCAACUAUAUAAAAAAUUAUUUAUAAGGUGUCCAAUAACUUCCAAAACACUUCUUAUAAAUAAUAAAUAUUUUUAUCUUAAAAAGUUUUUUUUUUUAAAUAAGUCAUGGAAAAAAAUUAUAAUUGUUUUAUAAAUAAGUAUAUUUUUUUGUAUAACAUAUAGUAUGGACACAUAAAUAAGUUAUAUUUAAAUUUUUUGACCAUAACUUUUUUUUUUAUAAAUAAGUAUUUGCAUAAUAUAGUAUUUGCAUAAUAUAAUGUUUGCAUUAUUGAUACUAACAACAUAGAAAUUUCCAUGAAAAAGGCCUUGAAUCCUUUGAUGAAUUAAGUUCCAUGACAAGGACUGAAGCAAUGACGACAGCUGGCCCCUGCAACUAUUGCAACAAGACCUUGAAUCCUUUGAUGAGUUCCUUUAAAUUCAUCAGUUUGGAAACCAUAACAUAUAUGCUACCACUAAAUCCUUACCAGAUUAAACAUGGCCCCAUCCUUAACCAUUUCUGUUAUUCUAGGGGUACUGUGGGCCACCAUCCUUCUUUCCUUUGCUACAACUGUGACAGCAGCAUAUCCAUCGCCAUUGGAGUCCGAAGCCAUAGCUCUGCUAGAAAGCAGGUGGUGGAGUAACCAUAGCAGCAAUACUUCACAACGUUGCCAGUGGCCUGGUAUAACCUGCAACACUGCUGAAAGCAUCACCCAAAUUAACUUAUCUGAUGCGCCCAACAUUGAGGUUGGAGAUAGAUUUGGGAAACUGAAUUUCUCUUCAUUUCCAAAUCUUGUCCUUCUUGAUCUUAGUGAUCAUCAACUUAGAGGAAAAAUCCCGCAUCAGAUAGGUGAUCUAUCAGCAUUGAAGUACCUUGACUUGUCCAAUUGUGGUUUAUCUGGUGAGUUACCUCCUUCUCUAGGGAAGCUGACCCAAUUAGAAUUCCUCGACAUGUCCUAUAAUGGUAAUAUUAAUGGUUCCAUCCCUCCACAAUUGGGGAACCUAAAGAACCUCGUGACUUUAAACUUAAGGCAAUGUGGAAUUGUUGGUCCAAUCCCUUCUGCUUUGGGUCAAUUAAUCAAUCUCCAAUCUCUGAUCCUUUCGGGGAACCAAAUCAAUGGAUCUAUCCCAUUAGAAAUUGGAUAUUUGAGAAAUUUGACUUAUUUGAGUCUCUCCAACAAUAGAAUUGUUGGUCCAAUCCCUUCUGCUUUAGGUCAAUUAACCAGUCUCCAAUCUCUGAUCCUUUGGGGGAACCAAAUCAAUGGAUCUAUCCCAUUAGAAAUUGGAUAUUUGAGAAAUUUGACUUGUUUGGAUCUCUACAACAGUAGACUUGUCGAUUCAAUACCAAUUACUCUGUACCAAUUAACCAAUUUGGAAAUUUUGUACCUUGAUAAUAACCAACUUCAAGGUUCAAUCCCUUCUUGUGUUGGUAGUUUAUCAAAGAUGCAGUACUUAAGCCUUGAUUCUAAUCUAUUAAAAGGUCCUAUUCCCCAAGAAAUUUGUAAUCUAGCAAAUUUAACUUCAUUGUACCUCUCCCAAAACAAAUUGACAGGUUCAAUCCCUUCUUGUAUUGGUAGCUUAUCAAAGAUGCAGUACUUAUGACUUGAUUCUAAUCUAUUAAAAGGUCCUAUUCCCCAAGAAAUUUGUAAUCUAGCAAAUUUAACUUCAUUGUACCUCUCCCAAAACAAAUUGACUGGUUCAAUCCCUUCUUGUAUUGGUAGUUUAUCAAAGAUGCAGUACUCAAGCCUUACUUCUAAUCUAUUAAAAGGUCCUAUUCCCCAAGAAAUUUGUGAUCUAGCAAAUUUAACUUCGUUGUACCUCUCCCAAAAUAAAUUGACUGGUUCAAUCCCUUCUUGUAUUGGUAGUUUAUCAAAGUUGCAGUACUUAAGCCUUGCUUCUAAUCUAUUAAAAGGUUCUAUCCCAAAAGAAAUUGGCAAGCUUUUUGAUCUAUCAAAUCUAAACCUUAGCUUCAACCAACUCUCAGGUCCUAUCCCUAUCUUGUCUGCUACUCAUCUCUACAUUGUCGACGCUGGAAAUGGUUGUCAAAAGAUUUUUCCCGAUCCAUUUGAAGGCAAUAGUGAUUUAUCACCCUAUAUGUGUCCUACUCCAGUUACCAAAAAAGCCAACAGCAGCAGAAUUCCUUACCAUUUCAAAAUAUUCCUCCCUAUUGCGAUCUUAUUCACAAUCUCCAUUUUAGGAUGUUUGCUAUUUUCACGGUUUAAGCUCAAGAAUAACCAUGUCAACGUACAACCAACCAAGAAUGGGGAUUUGUGUUCCAUAUGGAACUAUGAUGGAAAGAUAGCAUACGAGGAUAUCGUUGCAGCAACAGAGGAUUUCGACUUCCGAUACUGUAUUGGAGUUGGUGGUUAUGGUAGUGUUUACAAAGCAGAACUCCCUUGUGGUAAAGUAGUUGCUUUGAAGAAACUUCAUCAUUUAGAAGCCGAAAAUCCAACUUUUGACAGGAGUUUCAGGAACGAGAUCAAGUUUCUAUCAGAAAUACGACAUCGAAACAUUGUGAAGCUUCACGGGUUUUGUCUACACCGACGAUCCAUGUUUUUGAUCUAUGAAUACAUGGAAAAAGGGAGUUUGUUCUGCAACCUAAGGGAUGAAGUGAAUGCUGUGGAAAUGGAUUGGACGAAAAGAGUAGAGAUCAUCAAAGGCAUAGCACAUGCUUUGUCUUACUUGCACCAUGAUUGCUGCCCUCCGAUAGUUCAUCGAGACAUAUCAAGUAACAAUGUUCUUUUAA